This 255-nucleotide unclassified non-coding RNA is filed under the name Bartonella sp. RNAcentral describes it as "partial 16S-23S ribosomal RNA intergenic spacer". The stretch from base 83 to 156 matches the Rfam family "tRNA". Lineage: Bacteria; Pseudomonadati; Pseudomonadota; Alphaproteobacteria; Hyphomicrobiales; Bartonellaceae. The record is from RNAcentral.
AAUGCGCUUUUGUUUUGGCUUUAAGGAAAGUGUUUCCGUUUUAUAAGAUUAUGCCGGGGAAGGUUUUCCGGUUUGUCCCGGAGGGCUUGUAGCUCAGUUGGUUAGAGCGCGCGCUUGAUAAGCGUGAGGUCGGAGGUUCAAGUCCUCCCAGGCCCACCAAUUUGGUUUAAGCGCUUAUAAAGUGCUUAUAAUGAGGUGCACAGAARAGGUAUAGUAUAUAGGAUAUGUGCAGCUUAUCUAUUGCGCUAAAAARAU